AAGUUAGAUUCUGUGACACAAAGGGAAACNUGUCUGACUAAUNAUUCCCACACUGCCUUCGCUUCUGAGGGCUCCCUGGCCUGGGAGAGUUUGAGCAGAAGUCUCUUAGAAGUGCCUUCAGGGUGGGGCAUACACUUGAGGUCAUUGUGUUUGAACUUCGCUCAGCUCAGCGAGGUGUCACCUUUCUCCCUGACUUUUGCCCCCAUGCAGUCUCCUUUUAACCAGUUAUGAGCUGUUUAGAUUCCAUGUGUUUGCAUGCUUUCUGCCAUGUCUGUUUACUGGUAUCCAGCUUUCAUCCGAGGGAGACAGGCAGGACUUAGGGUAUUGUUUUAAAAGAUUUAUUUAUUGUAUUUAUAUGAGUACGCUAUAGCUGUCUUCAGACACACCAGAACAGGGCAUUGGAUCCCAAUUAUAGAUGGUUGUGAGCCUCCAUGUGGUUGCUGGGAAUUGAACUCAGGACCUCUGGAAGAACAGUCAGUGCUCUUAACCCCUGAGCCAUCUCUCCAGCCCUUAAGGUAUUAUUUUAAUGUUCUUAUACCUGUUGAGACUUGAUUUGUGUCCUAAGAUGUGGUUAAUUUUGAAGAAACUUCUAUUGNAUGCUGAGAAAAUAGUAAAUGUUUUAGUGUUUAUGUGGUAUGUUCUAUAGAUGUCUGUUAAGUCCAUUUGAGUUAUUUAACCUCAGUAUUUCUCUGUUUAGUUUUUGCCUUGAGAUAACAGGUCUGUCUAAUGGUAGAAGCUGGUAAUGUCAUUCACUCUUACUAUGCUAGGGUGAUAUGUUAUCUUGGCUAUAGCAUUGUUUCUUGUAUCUAAUUGGAUGACAUUUUUGAUGCAUAAUGUUUAAAUUUUUAAUAUACUCUGGGUGCAUUUUUUUUAAUGACUAGGUAGGGUCCUUUCCUAUCUUUUCUAAUUAGUUGUGGUUCAAUGUCUAAUUAGUCAGAUAUUAAAAUAGCUUGCUUCUUGGUUCCAUUUGUGUGGAAUAUUUUUCCUACCUUUUAUCCUAUGUGAGGCAUAUUUCUUGGAUGCAGCAGAAAGAUGGAUCCUGUGUUCCAAUCCGUGCAUUAGUGUUUAUUUGUUUUAACUCUGGAAUUUUAGAUGCUGUGGAGGGGUGUUGCUUACUGUCUUGCUCAGCAUGGCUUGCUCAGUCUGCUUCCUUAUAGGACCCAGGACCACCAGCCCAGGGAUCCUGUUUUCCAAUGGAUUGUGUCAAGGUGACAUAAAACUAGCCAGCACAAUCGCCAAUUGAAAGGAUUAUAUCUUUAAAAUUACACAUUUUANNNNNNNNNNNNNNNNNNNNNNNNNNNNNNNNNNNNNNNNNNNNNNAAANGCUCACUGGGUGUGAAGCGGAGAAAAUCAGGAACCAGUUGUAACUUGUUCCUCAGCACCCCCAACUCUGAUAAGGCUGGAGGCCCACGAGGCUGAGGCUGGCCGCGAACUCUUGCGCGUCUUUCAUCAGCCUCCGCAGGGCUGGGACUCCGGGCUGGAACUGCAUCCCAGCAUCCUGGAGCUUCACAGGCGCUAAGAAGCCAAGCAUCUCACUCACACGCACUUGCACCGUGAGGAGUCCAGAGGAGACUGCGGGCUCCUGGGCUGCUCUGCCAUCGCCCACCCUCACAGGAGCUGGGGUUGCGAGGAAGCCCUAGCCUCAGGGGAAACGGAGGUCAACCUCCNGUGGGGCUGACUCCCCCAGAGGCCCCGAGGCCAACCACCCCGGCCACUCUCACCAUGCUGAACUCCGGAGACCCGCUCAGAUGCUGCCUCGGCCGUUCCUCCACUGGUCCUCAACCGCCUCCGGUCUGCGCGCUCAACAGUCCAGGACGGANGUGGAGUCCAGGCCGGGGCUCAUUGGUCCAGAGCACCUUAGGGGCGGCCUUAGGCCCCACAUCCCACUAAUGAUUGGAUGUGGCUCAAGUUGCAGUGCUGGCACUUUCUGAUUGGAUGUGACUUUGGCGGGAAGGCUCUGGAGUGGCUGGAGGGGGACGAGCAUUGAGGAGCGUCUGAAGACUGGGGGGAAGGGGGGGAGUGUCUGCGCGUCCCGGACAUCCAACUUAGCGGGGGCGCUCAGGUCUUGCUUAUCUGCGCAUGUUAUUUGCGCAUCCGCGAUGGAGGGAUGCCCUUGCAGCCCUGCACACCAUCCGUACCUCUGUCCUCGCCUAUCAUCCUUUCGCCUCACCUCACACCGCCUUACCUCACCUGGGGCAGAAAAGCUGUUCAGCCUCCCUCGCUGGAGGGCCACCAGGCCGUGCUUCUCCNGAGACCUGAGUUUCUGAGCAUCUGCCAAGUCUUGCAUUGGGACCCAGAGCUGUUUUGGAAGUCUGUGUGAGCAGUUGCCUAUUCCNACGUUAUUUUCUCUGGGAGAAGGUCUUGAAAGGAUUUGGAUAUGCAGCCCUGGCUGGCCUCCAAGGCUUGUAGCCCGGGCUGGCAGAAGUUGAAACUCUGUCUCUGGCUACCUCAGAGCUGGGGCUAUAGAUGUGUGCCAUGCCCGGUGGCAACCAGACCUUCAAUCUUCAAUUUGGAGGAAACAUAAGUUAAUCAACAUACCUAUCUUUCCUCAGGAUAUCGAACUGCACAUAAUGAAUUGUAGGCUGUGCCAUGGUGUUUUUGUUUGUUUGUUUGUUUGUUUGGGCAGAGUCUUAUGUAUCCCACCCUGGUCUGGAUUUCCCCUGUAAUCAAGAAUGGAUUUGAUCCUUCUGAUCCUCCAAUCUCCACCCUCUGAGCCCUGGGAUUGCAGAUCUGCAUCACAAGCUGGGGACAAACUCCUGGCUUCAGAGAUGCUUAGCCAGCACUCUACCAAACCCAGCUACAACCCUAACCCAGUGCUGUGUUUACAAGAAACAUUUUUUUCUGAUUAUGAGAUUAACACAUUCAGAGUAGAACGCGUGAGAAAGGCAGCAAUAAAAUAGAACACCAACAACCACGCAUGUCUCUAGAGAAACACAUUUCAGCUGUCUUUCAUCCCAGCAUGCAUACAUUUAUGACUUGUUUUAUAACCAGAAUCAAACAUGAUUUUAAAAAAAUCUGCAGUAAACAUUUUUUUNNNN
Molecule: long non-coding RNA, 3038 nt
Filed under: Mus caroli (Ryukyu mouse)
Lineage: Eukaryota; Metazoa; Chordata; Mammalia; Rodentia; Muridae
Description: lncRNA (MGP_CAROLIEiJ_G0013773.1)
Source: RNAcentral